AGUGAACGCUGGCGGUAGGCCUAACACAUGCAAGUCGAACGGCAGCACAGUAAGAGCUUGCUCUUACGGGUGGCGAGUGGCGGACGGGUGAGGAAUACAUCGGAAUCUACUUUUUCGUGGGGGAUAACGUAGGGAAACUUACGCUAAUACCGCAUACGACCUACGGGUGAAAGCAGGGGAUCUUCGGACCUUGCGCGAUUGAAUGAGCCGAUGUCGGAUUAGCUAGUUGGCGGGGUAAAGGCCCACCAAGGCGACGAUCCGUAGCUGGUCUGAGAGGAUGAUCAGCCACACUGGAACUGGGACACGGUCCAGACUCCUACGGGAGGCAGCAGUGGGGAAUAUUGGACAAUGGGCGCAAGCCUGAUCCAGCCAUACCGCGUGGGUGAAGAAGGCCUUCGGGUUGUAAAGCCCUUUUGUUGGGAAAGAAAAGCAGCAGGUUAAUACCCCGCUGUUCUGACGGUGCCCAAAGAAUAAGCACCGGCUAACUUCGUG
This 492-nucleotide ribosomal RNA is filed under the name uncultured bacterium. Its description in RNAcentral is "partial 16S ribosomal RNA". It matches the Rfam family "Bacterial small subunit ribosomal RNA", at positions 29 to 507 of the family's 1533-position model. The record is from RNAcentral.